CCCGGCCACCCUUGCUUACUUUAACCUGUUGCUUUGGUGGGCCCGCCGCGAGGCCGCCGGGGAACUUUUUCAGUUUCCAGGCCCGUGCCCACCAAGGUCUUACCGAACUCUGCAAGUCUUUGCUGUCUGAGCGUGAAAGCGCAAUUAUUUAAAACUUUCAACAACGGAUCUCUUGGUUCCGGCAUCGAUGAAGAACGCAGCGAAAUGCGAUAAGUAAUGUGAAUUGCAGAAUUCCGUGAAUCAUCGAAUCUUUGAACGCAUAUUGCGCCCUCUGGUAUUCCGGAGGGCAUGCCUGUCCGAGCGUCAUUACUACCCUCAAGCACAGCUUAUUUGUUGAGCCAUUGUCCUAAAUGGACAGGCUCGAAAUGCAGCGGCGAUGCCGAGUUUGGUGCCCGAGUGUAUGGAGCUUUGUCACACGCUUUGGUGGCCCAGCCGGCGUUCUGUCUUUAUAUCAUCUAAGAUUUGACCUCGGAUCAGGUAGGAAUACCCGCUGAACUUAAGCAUAUCAAUAAGCGGAGGAAAAGAAACCAACAGGGAUUGCCUUAGUAACGGCGAGUGAAGCGGCAAAAGCUCAAAUUUGAAAUCUGGCUUCCUGUCUCGGGGCCCGAGUUGUAAUUUGGAGAGGAUGCUUUGGGUGUGGUCGCGGUCUAAGUCCCCUGGAACGGGGCAUCAUAGA
RNAcentral lists this ribosomal RNA (676 nucleotides) under uncultured fungus. RNAcentral's name for it is "eukaryotic LSU rRNA". The stretch from base 464 to 676 matches the Rfam family "Eukaryotic large subunit ribosomal RNA", at positions 1 to 209 of the family's 3401-position model. Lineage: Eukaryota; Fungi. The record is from RNAcentral.